UACAAAGCUAUCCUCCAACUAUAGAUUACCCUCCGCUGUCACACAGUCAGUCACUCGGAUGCUGCCGAUAGCAUGAAGAAUUAGGCGUUCGACUAAAUCAUCCAACAAAGUGGCAUGCUAGCAGAUGAUUUGUGCACCAGCUUGAGCUACAGAGGCGGUAUCAGGGGAGGCCUUCUGCAGGGAGGAAGCGCUGGCAUGCCUUUGGGAGCAGCGUGCUGGGGUCUGGUCCCGCUAAUCUGGGUUGCUAAUGGUGUGUUCCUUCCUGUCAGAUAGCGACGUACGAGAUAUCACUCUUCCUGCAAGUCUGAGAACCACGGACUGUUUGAAGUGAUGUUCACCCAUGCAAAGAGAGCAGCUCUGCAACCGCCGGCUUUGGCUUGAUGCUCGGGAACAUCUCCAUGGAAACAGUCUCCAUACUGAAAACAUGUUUACACUUCCGCGCUGUGCAGCGUUCAAGGGCAUCAGUCGCCACGGUCUCCUUUCCUUCAUUUCAUUAACAUUGCCACGUCUUUCCAUUCGUCUGCUGCCGGACAACGAACACAUCUGUGUUAACUCUGCGCUGCUACGUCUGAAGUCAAGCAUGCGUGAGGAGGUUUCAUUACUUUCAGGCAACAUGCUGUGGAAAGCACUUCUUAAAUUUUUCUGUCCUUUUUUUUAAUCACUCACCACUUGUUGCUGGUUCCUUUGUGCUUCUGUGCAGUUUAGAGUGAAGGACAAAUGAUCAUGAAGGAUCGAUAAUGCUGCUGCACCAUCAGUCAUGCUGGUCCUUGUCAUGUCAAGCUGAGCUGUCCUCCACUCGCCACCCCACACCCAGCUCAGUCCAACAGAGAAAAACAGAGGGGAGGGGGGGGGCUGAGGCUUUGGUACGACUUAAUUCCCCCGCAUCAAAGGCAACGAUGCCCUUUCUUACUUUGUCCAUGUAGCUGCUGGAGGGAUCCUGAGCUUAUGUGUUGAGUGGGAUAAGCUGCUCUAUUGUAUGUCUGCUUUGAACCUCACUAGGUGGUGCCAGAGGCUGUGAACUAAUGGAGCAUUGCAAAGAG
This is a long non-coding RNA of Betta splendens (Siamese fighting fish), 1040 nucleotides long. RefSeq lists it as uncharacterized. Lineage: Eukaryota; Metazoa; Chordata; Actinopteri; Anabantiformes; Osphronemidae. The record is from RefSeq and is a predicted model, not a curated record. The transcript is spliced from 2 exons.